RNAcentral lists this ribosomal RNA (466 nucleotides) under uncultured bacterium. Its description in RNAcentral is "partial 16S ribosomal RNA". It matches the Rfam family "Bacterial small subunit ribosomal RNA", at positions 28 to 507 of the family's 1533-position model. The record is from RNAcentral.
GAUGAACGCUGGCGGCGUGCUUAACACAUGCAAGUCGAACGAUGAAGCCCAGCUUGCUGGGUGGAUUAGUGGCGAACGGGUGAGUAACACGUGAGUAACCUGCCCUUGACUCUGGGAUAAGCCUGGGAAACUGGGUCUAAUACUGGAUAUGACUUCUCAUCGCAUGGUGGGGGGUGGAAAGAUUUAUUGGUCUUGGAUGGACUCGCGGCCUAUCAGCUUGUUGGUGAGGUAAUGGCUCACCAAGGCGACGACGGGUAGCCGGCCUGAGAGGGUGAUCGGCCACACUGGGACUGAGACACGGACCAGACUCCUACGGGAGGCAGCAGUGGGGAAUAUUGCACAAUGGGCGCAAGCCUGAUGCAGCGACGCCGCGUGAGGGAUGACGGCCUUCGGGUUGUAAACCUCUUUCAGUAGGGAAGAAGCGAGAGUGACGGUACCUGCAGAAGAAGCGCCGGCUAACUACGUG